RNAcentral lists this ribosomal RNA (253 nucleotides) under uncultured bacterium. RNAcentral describes it as "partial 16S ribosomal RNA". It matches the Rfam family "Bacterial small subunit ribosomal RNA", at positions 524 to 776 of the family's 1533-position model. The record is from RNAcentral.
UACGUAUGGUGCAAGCGUUAUCCGGAUUUACUGGGUGUAAAGGGAGCGCAGGCGGCACGGCAAGCCUGAUGUGAAAGCCCGCGGCCCAACCGCGGGACUGCAUUGGGAACUACCGGGCUGGAGUGCCGGAGAGGUAGGCGGAAUUCCUAGUGUAGCGGUGAAAUGCGUAGAUAUUAGGAGGAACACCAGUGGCGAAGGCGGCCUACUGGACGAUGACUGACGUUGAGGCUCGAAAGCGUGGGGAGCAAACAGG